GGAUGAACGCUGGCGGCGUGCCUAAUACAUGCAAGUCGAGCGAACAGACGAGGAGCUUGCUCCUCUGACGUUAGCGGCGGACGGGUGAGUAACACGUGGAUAACCUACCUAUAAGACUGGGAUAACUUCGGGAAACCGGAGCUAAUACCGGAUAAUAUAUUGAACCGCAUGGUUCAAUAGUGAAAGACGGUUUUGCUGUCACUUAUAGAUGGAUCCGCGCCGCAUUAGCUAGUUGGUAAGGUAACGGCUUACCAAGGCAACGAUGCGUAGCCGACCUGAGAGGGUGAUCGGCCACACUGGAACUGAGACACGGUCCAGACUCCUACGGGAGGCAGCAGUAGGGAAUCUUCCGCAUUGGGCGAAAGCCUGACGGAGCAACGCCGCGUGAGUGAUGAAGGUCUUCGGAUCGUAAAACUCUGUUAUUAGGGAAGAACAAAUGUGUAAGUAACUAUGCACGUCUUGACGGUACCUAAUCAGAAAGCCACGGCUAACUACGUG
This 498-nucleotide ribosomal RNA is filed under the name uncultured bacterium. RNAcentral describes it as "partial 16S ribosomal RNA". It matches the Rfam family "Bacterial small subunit ribosomal RNA", at positions 27 to 507 of the family's 1533-position model. The record is from RNAcentral.